Long non-coding RNA from Oncorhynchus tshawytscha (Chinook salmon), 2415 nucleotides. RefSeq lists it as uncharacterized. The transcript has 5 exons. NCBI's taxonomy places the organism in Eukaryota, Metazoa, Chordata, Actinopteri, Salmoniformes, Salmonidae. The record is from RefSeq and is a predicted model, not a curated record.
GGGGGGGUGGCGGCGGCUCCCUGACUGACUGACAGACACCCCUCUGGCUGCUAAAAAGCUCCAGCGCCUUGUUCCUGUCGUUGCCUUCUUUUCUCCUCCAGGUUUUAUUUUUGGCUACUGACCUUGACAGGAGCCUAUCCUUUCCUGCUUCCUCCAGCCAAACACAUCCCCUACACCUUCCACUACAUCAGGAGUGUGCUGUUGAAAUAGUUUUGUCCUUCUCACUAGAUUGUACAUUCUCUUCGACAGGUUUCUCUUUGCUUUCUCUUCGGAGUGUUUUAACUUGUAUUGAAGCGUUAACGGAUAAGUAAUUUGUGUCCUUUGCUUUGCAGGUCUUUCUUUAAGAGGAAAGCAGGGAAAAGAGCAGACUCUGUUUAAAGGAAGAGUGGUUUAAAAAGAAAAGGAUAGAACACAGACCCCUGUAAAACUCAUUGCCUUCCAUAGGCUACUGUGGCUAAACCAAUCGCAGGACAGACUCACUGUGUUUAACAGUGUCUGUCUGUACACCGGAAGGGCCUUCAUGCCUACAUCAACCAUGCAGUGAGGGUGAGCUGGCAGUGUGCCCCCUCUCUCCAUGCUGGCUUUGGGCCUAGAGCAGGGGAGAGGAGAGGGGAGAGGUGGAUCCCCCUCAAAAACACUCCUGUUUCAGUAAGACUUCAACUGCAAUCCCUUUGCAAUCUCUUACAACAGACACUACAAACAUUUUCCAAUUAGAUAGGAUGAUCCCCAACAAUGAGGAACUGAAUGUGGGUGGUGUGUUGGAAGUUAAGUUGACCAAACACCUACCUCUGUCAGUGGAUGACCAUGGAGAGAGCUUGCCCCCAGGGAAUUUCUAUACCUCAAGGGGCUUCUGGCGGAGGCUGGAGGGAGACAAGUUGUUCUGGGAAAUACCUCAGCAGAGCCUCAGAGUCAUCUAUCUCCCUCACCUUUGACCAUGUCCAGCUGAACACCUGACCAGAGACAACACAUAUGAGGAUGUCAAGCCGUCUCCUACUAUGUGUCUCCCCAUUGUGCGUCCCCGACCCUGGACCAUGGCACAGAGACAAAAACCCUCUCACCCCAAAGCUUCCUCCCAAGCCUCUCACGUUGUGGGUGGAGAGGAAGGACUCACUGGCAGCGACACAAUCCUCACCUACAGAAGCCCCCCCUAGACCUGCCUUACCCAAGCGACCCACAACCAUCCAUAAAACACACAGACUGCCUCAGAGGAGACCAGUGGAACUGAAAGUGACCCAGAGGACAACACUAAAGGAGGGUCCAGGCGCUCGGUCUAUGUCCAGUCCACGCUGAAGCGGAGGCCAGUCUACCGCUCCCUGGAGAGGGACCUGAUCCAGCUCCAGCAACAGCAGCUCUUUCAGUUCUUUAAACUCCUACACCCCUGAGAUCACGCAACAGUUUCCCAACAAGUUUGAGAAGUCUUCCCGUCACUCCCGUGAAGCCGACGACCGGCUGAAGGCCAUUCCCAUGUUCUGCUUCCCAGACUCUCAGGACUGGCGGCCUUCUGGACACCUGCACAGGUAAGCUUCUGUCACAUUCACAUUAUGGUCACAGUAUGUAGCAGUGGUGUUACAAUAAGGGAAUUCAUGUAAUAUAAAUAUGCAUACAACCACUUAAUAUGAGCAUUGGAACAGGUAAAACAUUUCAAAAGUAGCUACGUUUUUGUAAUAAUUACUGUGCUAAAAUGAAGUUAUUAUAUGAUGAUGUAAGAAUUAAGUCCAAGACAUGUCCAAUGAAAUGGAGAUUAUCUAGUGAUUCAGACAAAGAGUAACAUGAUUGCAGUUCAUAUGCCAUGCUUUGUCUUUUCCCCCAAGGGAGACUGCACGAGAACACUGCUUAACUCUAUCACUUUGUGCAUCCCUGUCCUAUUGUCUAUGCUUUUAUCCGUCUUUGUAGUGAAACCUUCUCUUUUGUCUUGACGGGAGAGGAUGUCAGCCGGUGCUUUUGUUACUGUCGUAAUAUCCUGGUGAGUGUGUGUGAAUGAGUCAUUACGUUGUGUGUGAGGACUAGGCAGUAAAGUGCGUACGCAACAUCUCUAAGGGAUAUACUACAGUCAUAGGCCGUAAAACCUCUGAAUCAGUGACCCAAACUAAACAUAAUUUCAUAAUUGUUUUUCAUAACAUAAUUUGUCCACGUGUUAAAUCCAUGACUGUACAUUUAAUGUUAGAUUUGUGUGUUUUAAAUGUAUUGCGCUGUUGUUUAUUUUUACUAUUUUAUGGUCUGGACUGAGUGUUUGUUUACCCCUGGAAUGCCAGCGUUGAUACAGCGUUGCAAUAACAUUGUUGAUACUGAUUGGCAGGGUUGGUUUUCAUGCUGAUUUGUGUUUAUUUGUGCCUUUUAGCCAAGAGUCUGUGAGAGCCAGAAAUCUUGCUUGUUUGUAGGUGACCAAAUACUUAUUUUCCACCAUAAUUUGCAAAU